Molecule: ribosomal RNA, 253 nt
Filed under: uncultured bacterium
Lineage: Bacteria
Description: partial 16S ribosomal RNA
Rfam family: Bacterial small subunit ribosomal RNA
Source: RNAcentral
UACGUAGGGUGCAAGCGUUGUCCGGAAUUACUGGGCGUAAAGGGCGCGUAGGCGGCACAGCAAGUCGGGAGUGAAAGCCCGGGGCUCAACCCCGGAAUGGCUUUCGAAACUGCUGAGCUAGAGUACAGAAGGGGCAACCGGAAUUCCCAGUGUAGCGGUGAAAUGCGUAGAUAUUGGGAAGAACACCUGAGGCGAAGGCGGGUUGCUGGGCUGAUACUGACGCUGAGGCGCGAAAGCCAGGGGAGCAAACGGG